UGGACUUUUCCCUCCCGACCUGUGU
This 25-nucleotide non-coding RNA is filed under the name Rattus norvegicus (Norway rat). The record is from RNAcentral. Lineage: Eukaryota; Metazoa; Chordata; Mammalia; Rodentia; Muridae.